This 254-nucleotide ribosomal RNA is filed under the name uncultured bacterium. RNAcentral describes it as "partial 16S ribosomal RNA". It matches the Rfam family "Bacterial small subunit ribosomal RNA", at positions 524 to 776 of the family's 1533-position model. The record is from RNAcentral.
UACGUAGGGUGCAAGCGUUGUCCGGAAUUAUUGGGCGUAAAGAGCUCGUAGGCGGUCUGUCGCGUCGGCUGUGAAAUCCCGAGGCUCAACCUCGGGUCUGCAGUCGAUACGGGCAAACUAGAGUAUUGCAGGGGAGACUGGAAUUCCUGGUGUAGCGGUGAAAUGCGCAGAUAUCAGGAGGAACACCGAUGGCGAAGGCAGGUCUCUGGGCCGAUACUGACGCUGAGGAGCGAAAGCGUGGGGGAGCGAACAGG